This 106-nucleotide small nuclear RNA is filed under the name Notamacropus eugenii (tammar wallaby). Lineage: Eukaryota; Metazoa; Chordata; Mammalia; Diprotodontia; Macropodidae. The record is from RNAcentral.
GCUCACUUCAGCAGAGUAUACACUGAACAUGUAAUUAUACAGAAAAGAUUAGUAUGGCCCCCUGUGCAAAGAUGACACUCACACUCAUGAAUUAUUCCACAUUUUU